GAUGAACGCUGGCGGCGUGCCUAAUACAUGCUAGUCGAGCGAACGGACGAGAAGCUUGCUUCUCUGAUGUUAGCGGCGGACGGGUGAGUAACACGUGGAUAACCUACCUAUAAGACUGGGAUAACUUCGGGAAACCGGAGCUAAUACCGGAUAAUAUUUUGAACCGCAUGGUUCAAAAGUGAAAGACGGUCUUGCUGUCACUUAUAGAUGGAUCCGCGCUGCAUUAGCUAGUUGGUAAGGUAACGGCUUACCAAGGCAACGAUGCAUAGCCGACCUGAGAGGGUGAUCGGCCACACUGGAACUGAGACACGGUCCAGACUCCUACGGGAGGCAGCAGUAGGGAAUCUUCCGCAAUGGGCGAAAGCCUGACGGAGCAACGCCGCGUGAGUGAUGAAGGUCUUCGGAUCGUAAAACUCUGUUAUUAGGGAAGAACAUAUGUGUAAGUAACUGUGCACAUCUUGACGGUACCUAAUCAGAAAGCCACGGCUAACUACGUG
Molecule: ribosomal RNA, 497 nt
Filed under: uncultured bacterium
Lineage: Bacteria
Description: partial 16S ribosomal RNA
Rfam family: Bacterial small subunit ribosomal RNA
Source: RNAcentral